Molecule: ribosomal RNA, 253 nt
Filed under: uncultured bacterium
Lineage: Bacteria
Description: partial 16S ribosomal RNA
Rfam family: Bacterial small subunit ribosomal RNA
Source: RNAcentral
UACAGAGGUCCCGAGCGUUGUUCGGAUUCAUUGGGCGUAAAGAGCUCGUAGGCGGCCUGUUGCGUCCGCUGUGAAAGCCCGGGGCUUAACCCCGGGUCGGCAGUGGAUACGGGCAGGCUAGAGGUAGGUAGGGGAGAAUGGAAUUCCCGGUGUAGCGGUGAAAUGCGCAGAUAUCGGGAGGAACACCGGUGGCGAAGGCGGUUCUCUGGGCCUUACCUGACGCUGAGGAGCGAAAGCGUGGGGAGCGAACAGG